GACGAACGCUGGCGGCGUGCUUAACACAUGCAAGUCGAACGGAAAGGCCCUGCUUUUGUGGGGUGCUCGAGUGGCGAACGGGUGAGUAACACGUGAGUAACCUGCCCUUGACUUUGGGAUAACUUCAGGAAACUGGGGCUAAUACCGGAUAGGAGCUCCUGCUGCAUGGUGGGGGUUGGAAAGUUUCGGCGGUUGGGGAUGGACUCGCGGCUUAUCAGCUUGUUGGUGGGGUAGUGGCUUACCAAGGAUUUGACGGGUAGCCGGCCUGAGAGGGUGACCGGCCACAUUGGGACUGAGAUACGGACCAGACUCCUACGGGAGGCAGUAGUGAGGAAUAUUGCACAAGGGGCGGAAGCCUGAUGCAGCAACGCCGCGUGCGGGAUGACGGCCUUCGGGUUUUAAACCGCUUUCGCCUGUGACGAAGCGUGAGUGACGGUAAUGGGUAAAGAAGCACCGGCUAACUACGUG
This 468-nucleotide ribosomal RNA is filed under the name uncultured bacterium. Its description in RNAcentral is "partial 16S ribosomal RNA". It matches the Rfam family "Bacterial small subunit ribosomal RNA", at positions 28 to 507 of the family's 1533-position model. The record is from RNAcentral.